Molecule: non-coding RNA, 696 nt
Organism: Callithrix jacchus (white-tufted-ear marmoset)
Lineage: Eukaryota; Metazoa; Chordata; Mammalia; Primates; Cebidae
Source: RefSeq, a predicted model, not a curated record
GUCUUGGCAACCGCAUCAACGCGCUCCGGCCCCUCCCUCCGCGCAGGCGACCAAUGACCGACCAUUAGUUCCUGGAGAUGGAUAAUCUCGCAUUACUGCCCCCUGGCGGCCCAACGGAAGUAUCCUCCAGACUUCGCCGGGCCCCCAGGUGGCCUCCAGCGCUAGAGGUCAUCGAGUCCCGCCGCGAUGUGAUCCGGGCUAGCGCGAUCUUGGCGCAACGCAACCUCCGCCUCCCGGGUUCAAGCGAUUCUCGUGCCUCCUGAGUAGCUGGGAUUACAGACUCGCGCCACCACACCCGGCUAAUUUUUGUAUUUUUAGUAGAGACGGGGUUUUUCCAUGUUGGUCAGGCUGGUCUUGAACUGCUGACCUCAGGUGAUCCGCUCGCCUCGACCUCCCAAAGUGCUGGGAUUACAGACGUGAGCCGCCAUGUCCGGCUGUGUCCACGCUUCUUUUCCCGAGCUCUGCCUCCAAGUUUUCUGGGGCACAGCUGCUUCUCUCUCCAUCUCUGCCUCCAGGGAGCUAAUUACACCCUGUCCUCGCCGGCCUCCCGCCUGACCGCCCACCACACUGGAAGCCCCCGCAACCCUUUCACUGUCUUCAGGGCGACGGCCGUCCCCUCCCAGGCACGUCCCCCUCCUAGGAAGAGGCUGGGGCCCAGUUUAUUCCAAAUUUUCACGUCUUUUUUUUAAUUUUAAA